Molecule: long non-coding RNA, 1773 nt
Filed under: Chrysolophus pictus (golden pheasant)
Lineage: Eukaryota; Metazoa; Chordata; Aves; Galliformes; Phasianidae
Description: lncRNA (ENSCPIG00010014866.1)
Source: RNAcentral
UUUUAGUGCUUAUUAUCACCUCACCUUCCCUUUAUUUCUCCAAGUUGCAGCUGGACUCCAGUUCUGAAAACUUCUGGAACUGAAAUAAAGAGGGAGAAAUUGAGUUGUAACGAAAGGACGCGUUGUUCUCAAACAAAAGGUAGGGAUGAAGGACUUUGUUCUAAGAGUUUGUUCAUAAUAAAUAAAAGACAAAUAGUUUCAAGCUGAACUGCCUUGCAAAUUAGAGCUUCACUUCAGCUUUUUUUUUUUUCAUUUUAUGAAUCCAACCUUUUUCUUUUAUUAAGGGCAGCUGAAAUUUCGACUUACUUGUGACUGAAUAUAGUGCUCCAAUCCACAAAAAAAUAUUCUGCUGAUCGGAAUGCUUCAGUUUCGGAUCAUUCUGAGCUAAUAUUUGCUCAGCUAAGCUAAAAACCGGAGGCGUAUUUGUAUUUAAGUAAAGCAGAAUAAUUUCUUCCAAUCCUGUGCCUGUGUCAGCCCAGUCGGGGCGCUGGUGGGAGCUGCUGGCUGGUAGAAAGACGAGGCUUUCUCCUUAUGAAAAAUGCCUGACCAAAAGCAAUCCGGUUUGUGUCACCAUUGCUUUUCUCCCAUUUAUUUCUUUGAUAAAUAAACUAAAUAAGUAAACCUGUAGGUUUCAUUUCAACCUGAACUGCAGCCGUGUCGCUGUGCAGGCAGGUAACAAAACACCGACCUCAGGGCACCGAUUUCCCAAUUCCCACAAACAAAAUGACACUCUCCAUACAAAAUACAAACCCACUGCGCUCUGCUUCUUCAGAUCAAUUCCCCCCUGUCGCUAUCUAACGCAGAAACAACAUCCCAUUCCUACAGCUGGGGGCUGGAUGGGGCCCCAGCCCCAGGAACCGAGGGCUGUUUGUGCCGCGAUGCUCAGCCCUGCUUCUCCUCCUUGUUUUCCCCCUUGUUGGAAAUAUCCCAAUAAUUUAUCAGGACGGUAUCUGUCCUGAUACUGUCAGGAUCAGGAUGCAAUUGCAUCCAUUGGAUGCAGUGAUGGGCAUCCUAAAGCACAGAAAGCAGCGUUGUGUCUUUUACACCCUUAUCUCUGUUAUUAUCUCUACUAUCCCUAUUGCUUCUCUCUUUCUCCCCUGGUUCCUCGUUGGCUGAGCACUUCAGGAUCACAACCUUCUCAACGCUCGACUGAACACACGGAUACUGGACAAACACCAAUUUUUGCCAGCUCAGCUGAUUAUUUAACUUCUCACACCUGCUCACUCAACACUCGGUCAUUGUUUCUGCACGUCUGCUCGUCCUUGCAUAGAGCUAUUUCUGAGGACAAGUUACGAAACACAAAUACACUGUGCUCUACUUCUCCAGCUCAAUUCCCCCUUUUUCAUAUGAGGACAGCUCAUGAGACUGAGUGUGAGCAAGGCCACGGGGCUGGAUGAUGUGCACCCCUAAAAGAGCUGGCUGAGGUGGCUGCUGAGCUGCUCCCCAUUGUGUCUGAAGUCAUGGCUCAGGUGAAGUCCCCGGGGUCUGGAAAAUGGGAAACAUGGCCCCAGCGACAAGGAAGGGAGGAAGGAGGAGCUGGGGAGCGCAUGGAGCAGAUGCUCCUAGAAGCCACGUUGAGGUCUUUGAGGGAUGAGCAGCUGAUCCGAUCAGAGCCUCAUCCGAGACUCAGGAAUAGCACACGUCCAUUCAUUGAGAGCUUUCUUAGCAGCUCCUGAGCACUCGAAGGCAAACAGCUCCAAAGAAAUGCUUUGCAAUACAAAACCGUCCACAAAGUGCCGCUGGUUGCCUCAAUAAAGGCCGGCUCGUUUUGCA